Molecule: ribosomal RNA, 449 nt
Filed under: uncultured bacterium
Lineage: Bacteria
Description: bacterial SSU rRNA
Rfam family: Bacterial small subunit ribosomal RNA
Source: RNAcentral
GUCCAGACUCCUACGGGAGGCAGCAGUGGGGAAUAUUGCACAAUGGGGGAAACCCUGAUGCAGCGACGCCGCGUGAGCGAUGAAGUAUUUCGGUAUGUAAAGCUCUAUCAGCAGGGAAGAAGAUGACGGUACCUGACUAAGAAGCCCCGGCUAACUACGUGCCAGCAGCCGCGGUAAUACGUAGGGGGCAAGCGUUAUCCGGAUUUACUGGGUGUAAAGGGAGCGUAGACGGCGAUGCAAGCCAGAUGUGAAAGCCCGGGGCUCAACCCCGGGACUGCAUUUGGAACUGUGUGGCUGGAGUGUCGGAGAGGCAGGCGGAAUUCCUAGUGUAGCGGUGAAAUGCGUAGAUAUUAGGAGGAACACCAGUGGCGAAGGCGGCCUGCUGGACGAUGACUGACGUUGAGGCUCGAUAGCGUGGGGAGCAAACAGGAUUAGAUACCCCCGUAAUC